GGGUUGUGAGGUUAAGCGACUAAGCGUACACGGUGGAUGCCCUGGCAGUCAGAGGCGAUGAAGGACGUGCUAAUCUGCGAUAAGCGCCGGUAAGGUGAUAUGAACCGUUAUAACCGGCGAUUUCCGAAUGGGGAAACCCAGUGUGAUUCGUCACACUAUCAUUAACUGAAUCCAUAGGUUAAUGAGGCGAACCGGGGGAACUGAAACAUCUAAGUACCCCGAGGAAAAGAAAUCAACCGAGAUUCCCCCAGUAGCGGCGAGCGAACGGGGAGGAGCCCAGAGCCUGAAUCAGCAUGUGUGUUAGUGGAAGCGUCUGGAAAGGCGCGCGAUACAGGGUGACAGCCCCGUACACAAAAGCGCAUGUGCUGUGAGCUCGAUGAGUAGGGCGGGACACGUGGUAUCCUGUCUGAAUAUGGGGGGACCAUCCUCCAAGGCUAAAUACUCCUGACUGACCGAUAGUGAACCAGUACCGUGAGGGAAAGGCGAAAAGAACCCCGGCGAGGGGAGUGAAAAAGAACCUGAAACCGUGUACGUACAAGCAGUGGGAGCACAGGUUUACCUGUGUGACUGCGUACCUUUUGUAUAAUGGGUCAGCGACUUAUAUUCUGUAGCAAGGUUAACCGAAUAGGGGAGCCGGAGGGAAACCGAGUCUUAAUUGGGCGUUAAGUUGCAGGGUAUAGACCCGAAACCCGGUGAUCUAGCCAUGGGCAGGUUGAAGGUUGGGUAACACUAACUGGAGGACCGAACCGACUAAUGUUGAAAAAUUAGCGGAUGACCUGUGGCUGGGGGUGAAAGGCCAAUCAAACCGGGAGAUAGCUGGUUCUCCCCGAAAGCUAUUUAGGUAGCGCCUCGUGAAUUCAUCUCCGGGGGUAGAGCACUGUUUCGGCUAGGGGGCCAUCCCGGCUUACCAACCCGAUGCAAACUGCGAAUACCGGAGAAUGUUAUCACGGGAGACACACGGCGGGUGCUAACGUCCGUCGUGAAGAGGGAAACAACCCAGACCGCCAGCUAAGGUCCCAAAGUCAUGGUUAAGUGGGAAACGAUGUGGGAAGGCCCAGACAGCCAGGAUGUUGGCUUAGAAGCAGCCAUCAUUUAAAGAAAGCGUAAUAGCUCACUGGUCGAGUCGGCCUGCGCGGAAGAUGUAACGGGGCUAAACCAUGCACCGAAGCUGCGGCAGCGAACGUAUCACUUAAAGCGAUUCAGCGGGUUACGAUUGACGGAGCGAAGCGACGUCAAAGCGUAUACAAAGUCGAGUCGGUUUAAGGAUACGUUCGUUGGGUAGGGGAGCGUUCUGUAAGCCUGUGAAGGUGGCCUGUGAGGGUUGCUGGAGGUAUCAGAAGUGCGAAUGCUGACAUAAGUAACGAUAAAGCGGGUGAAAAGCCCGCUCGCCGGAAGACCAAGGGUUCCUGUCCAACGUUAAUCGGGGCAGGGUGAGUCGACCCCUAAGGCGAGGCCGAAAGGCGUAGUCGAUGGGAAACGGGUUAAUAUUCCCGUACUUGGUGUUACUGCGAAGGGGGGACGGAGAAGGCUAUGUUGGCCGGGCGACGGUUGUCCCGGUUUAAGCGUGUAGGUGUGUGUUCCAGGUAAAUCCGGUUCACUUUAACACUGAGGCGUGACGACGAGGCACUACGGUGCUGAAGCAACAAAUGCCCUGCUUCCAGGAAAAGCCUCUAAGCAUCAGGUAACAUCAAAUCGUACCCCAAACCGACACAGGUGGUCAGGUAGAGAAUACCAAGGCGCUUGAGAGAACUCGGGUGAAGGAACUAGGCAAAAUGGUGCCGUAACUUCGGGAGAAGGCACGCUGACACGUAGGUGAAGUGAUUUACUCAUGGAGCUGAAGUCAGUCGAAGAUACCAGCUGGCUGCAACUGUUUAUUAAAAACACAGCACUGUGCAAACACGAAAGUGGACGUAUACGGUGUGACGCCUGCCCGGUGCCGGAAGGUUAAUUGAUGGGGUCAGCGCAAGCGAAGCUCCUGAUCGAAGCCCCGGUAAACGGCGGCCGUAACUAUAACGGUCCUAAGGUAGCGAAAUUCCUUGUCGGGUAAGUUCCGACCUGCACGAAUGGCGUAAUGAUGGCCAGGCUGUCUCCACCCGAGACUCAGUGAAAUUGAACUCGCUGUGAAGAUGCAGUGUACCCGCGGCAAGACGGAAAGACCCCGUGAACCUUUACUAUAGCUUGACACUGAACAUUGAGCCUUGAUGUGUAGGAUAGGUGGGAGGCUUUGAAGCGUGGACGCCAGUCUGCGUGGAGCCGACCUUGAAAUACCACCCUUUAAUGUUUGAUGUUCUAACGUGGACCCGUUACCCGGGUUGCGGACAGUGUCUGGUGGGUAGUUUGACUGGGGCGGUCUCCUCCUAAAGAGUAACGGAGGAGCACGAAGGUUGGCUAAUCCUGGUCGGACAUCAGGAGGUUAGUGCAAUGGCAUAAGCCAGCUUGACUGCGAGCGUGACGGCGCGAGCAGGUGCGAAAGCAGGUCAUAGUGAUCCGGUGGUUCUGAAUGGAAGGGCCAUCGCUCAACGGAUAAAAGGUACUCCGGGGAUAACAGGCUGAUACCGCCCAAGAGUUCAUAUCGACGGCGGUGUUUGGCACCUCGAUGUCGGCUCAUCACAUCCUGGGGCUGAAGUAGGUCCCAAGGGUAUGGCUGUUCGCCAUUUAAAGUGGUACGCGAGCUGGGUUUAGAACGUCGUGAGACAGUUCGGUCCCUAUCUGCCGUGGGCGCUGGAGAACUGAGGGGGGCUGCUCCUAGUACGAGAGGACCGGAGUGGACGCAUCACUGGUGUUCGGGUUGUCAUGCCAAUGGCACUGCCCGGUAGCUAAAUGCGGAAGAGAUAAGUGCUGAAAGCAUCUAAGCACGAAACUUGCCCCGAGAUGAGUUCUCCCUGAGACUUUAGGUCUCCUGAAGGAACGUUGAAGACG
This 2919-nucleotide ribosomal RNA is filed under the name Salmonella enterica subsp. enterica serovar Kottbus. RNAcentral's name for it is "partial 23S ribosomal RNA". It matches the Rfam family "Bacterial large subunit ribosomal RNA". Lineage: Bacteria; Pseudomonadati; Pseudomonadota; Gammaproteobacteria; Enterobacterales; Enterobacteriaceae. The record is from RNAcentral.